CGCGACCCUGGUGACAAAGGAAACGAUUCGAGCUAAAGGACCACAACUUCGUCAACGCCCAGCCACCCCAAAUCCCCUCCUAUCGACCACAGCGCCGCCACCGACGUCGGCCGUCUGGCCCAUCCACGCCGAUCCCGCCGUGCUCCUCUUCUCCGCAAAUGCCGCCGUAAGCCUUCGCAUCUGCGGAGCCACCCUUUGGCUCAAAGGUGUACACCCAUGCCACAGAGGCCGGAUCGGGCAGCAGGAACUCGAGGAGGACGACAACACCAAGAUCUCGGGGAGGUGAGCUCGAGGGCAUGACCCAUCUCCUCAAUGCCCCAACCCUCGAACUCCGGCGCCUCAACUCCCACACCGUCUGCGAGUCAAAUCCCUGCGUGCCGCCGACGAAAACUCCCCCUGCAUCUCGCGCUGCCACGACUAACCACCUGUGCGCUGAACCAACUCGCCGCCGGUAGCGCCCCCCUGUCGACGCGACUCCCUCGAGCUCCCUCCCGGUCGUGUCCCUCCAGAUAGGCAGCAACAUCGUCCUCCCGCCGCUGCAGCGGCGCAACGACACGAGGUGUGGAGGGGAAGGGAUAUACAGGUGGAGGAGGGCGGUGGCGGCAAAGGCGGAGGCGGUCGAUGAUACCUGAAAUUCUUUGGAGUUCUUUCGAAUUGAAAGAUCAGGAAAUAAGCUUGUGGUGACUUUGUGAGGUUUUCGCAUUGGACCGUUUGGAACUUCGGAUUGGCAGAGAGCUAGAGACCCUGGUGCUCUGAAGGAUGUUGAAUUUGAUAACAGAAUUUAUUGUUGUUAAAUAUUAUUUGCUUCUUUCAUAUGGAAAAAGUUAGCGUUGUUGGGAGCUCGAUGUUGUAGUGGGCCUUGACAGUGGCAAGUUGGGAGCUGGCGAGGUAGAUGUCGUCCUCGACAAGGGCCGUGACCUCAUCUCCUUUGGCCCCAAGUCCGACUACCACCACAACCAGACAUGCUCCUCCAUAGGCCUUGGAUUACUGUCAGCUACGAGAUUAAGUUCGGAGAAAGGGCCAUUGCCAGCUUCUGUGUUGGUAGGGCGAUUCUUAGGCGCACCAAGAUACUGGUCCUGGACGAAGCCACUGCUUCGGUGGACAGUGCAACUGAUAACCUGAUCCAGAACACACUACAACAUCAUUUCUCAGGGUCAAUUGUCAUCACGACCGUGCAUCGAAUCACCUCGGUCCUUCCUAACGAUAUAGUCUAGAUUCUUGACAAUGGCCUGGCUGUGGAGUCUGGAGCAACCAAGGUCAGCCAAGUUGCUGGAAGACAAAUUUUCUCUGUUCUCAAAGCUUGUGGUGGAAUCCAUGAUGAGGUUGAUACACACUUGAGCUAGCAUCACAAAUGUUAUCAAAAUGAAAUUUUACCUUAUCCAAAUUGUGGUAUGCAAAUAUUAGAAAGCUAGGCGCACUACCGGGCAUUGAAGGAUAUGCUGGAUCUUGACUUAUUUCUGCAGGCGGCGGCACACCAUGAACUAACUGGAGGAGACAAACUAGAUUUGCAGGCUUCUGCAAAGUGCUAGCACCUAGAGUGAUGAGGACAUCAAUAUCAUUGUUACACCCACAACCCCUACUGUUACAUAUAAUGGACCAAUUACUAGAGCUCGCGCACGCCAAUUAAAUUACCAGGUAUUUUCGUUUCUUGGUAAUGAUUCUAAUGUUCAUGAGAAUAUGAUGCUGCCUAAAUUGGAUACUUUUGUUUUGCUUACAAAUGAAGGGCCUGGAUUGGAGAAGGAUGAACAUUGGA
This is a long non-coding RNA of Aegilops tauschii subsp. strangulata, 1753 nucleotides long. RefSeq lists it as uncharacterized. The record is from RefSeq and is a predicted model, not a curated record. NCBI's taxonomy places the organism in Eukaryota, Viridiplantae, Streptophyta, Magnoliopsida, Poales, Poaceae.